GACAGAGGUGCCGAGCGUUAGGCGGAAUCACUGGGCUUAAAGCGUGUGUAGGCGGGCGGGCAAGUACCUUGUGAAAUCCCACGGCUCAACCGUGGAACGGCUGGGUAUACUGCCUGUCUUGAGCCAACUAGGGGCGAGCGGAACAGACGGUGGAGCGGUGAAAUGCGUAGAUAUCGUCUGGAACGCCAAAGGUGAAAACAGCUCGCUGGGGUUGUGCUGACGCUGAGACACGAAAGCCAGGGGAGCAAACGGG
RNAcentral lists this ribosomal RNA (253 nucleotides) under uncultured bacterium. RNAcentral describes it as "partial 16S ribosomal RNA". It matches the Rfam family "Bacterial small subunit ribosomal RNA", at positions 524 to 776 of the family's 1533-position model. The record is from RNAcentral.